This 213-nucleotide unclassified non-coding RNA is filed under the name plant metagenome. RNAcentral describes it as "partial contains small subunit ribosomal RNA, internal transcribed spacer 1, and 5.8S ribosomal RNA". The record is from RNAcentral.
UUUCCGUAGGUGAACCUGCGGAAGGAUCAUUCAUAAUAAGUGUUUUAUGGCACUUUUUUAAAUCCAUAUCCACCUUGUGUGCAAUGUCAGGGUUGAUUUUUCUCUCGAGAGGAUCAACCCCAAACAUCAACUAUAUCUCAACUCUUUGUCUGAAAAAUAUUAUGGAUAAAACAAUUCAAAAUACAACUUUCAACAACGGAUCUCUUGGCUCUC